Long non-coding RNA from Stomoxys calcitrans (stable fly), 522 nucleotides. RefSeq lists it as uncharacterized. The record is from RefSeq and is a predicted model, not a curated record. The transcript is spliced from 2 exons. Lineage: Eukaryota; Metazoa; Arthropoda; Insecta; Diptera; Muscidae.
UAAUCGAUUAGCUGGAAGUCGACUUUGGGAUCCCUAAUUUUGGAUGUACUGACUUUUUCAUUUCACUUGGAUUGUAAAUUUUACUUAAAGGUGUCUUUGGAAUUUAAUUUCGUGUCGUUGUGAUUUUCGUCGCAGUAAAUUACUACAAAGGACUUCAAGACAUCUAUUUAUUAAUUAUACAUAUACACUUGAUAUUGUCGUAAAUUCCUUAGCAUAUUAUUACAGAAAAUCCUCUUAUAAAUCCAUUUUGAAAUACAUAAUCUAUUUAUUUUUUAAUUCCACGAAAUAUCCGAGAUAACAAUCCCGAGAAUUGUCACGUAAAUACAUAUAAACAUACAUACGUACGUAGUAGAUCCGAUCAUCAAUUUUGUUUCGUUCGUAUUAAGAGUCAGUCGAGUCGCCGGAGAAAGUGUCAAAGAUUUGAACGCGAUUUCUUGUCAACUGAAUUUGUUGCUCUUGUACUAUCUAGAAAAUUUCUUGUGUAAUUGAAAACUAAAUAAGAAAAAAAGAGCUUUUCUCUAA